AGAGUUUGAUCCUGGCUCAGAGCGAACGCUGGCGGCAGGCCUAACACAUGCAAGUCGAACGGAUCCUUCGGGAUUAGUGGCGGACGGGUGAGUAACACGUGGGAACGUGCCCUUUGGUUCGGAACAACUCAGGGAAACUUGAGCUAAUACCGGAUGUGCCCUUCGGGGGAAAGAUUUAUCGCCAUUGGAGCGGCCCGCGUAGGAUUAGCUAGUUGGUGGGGUAAAGGCCCACCAAGGCUACGAUCCUUAGCUGGUCUGAGAGGAUGAUCAGCCACAUUGGGACUGAGACACGGCCCAAACUCCUACGGGAGGCAGCAGUGGGGAAUCUUGCGCAAUGGGCGAAAGCCUGACGCAGCCAUGCCGCGUGAAUGAUGAAGGUCUUAGGAUUGUAAAAUUCUUUCACCGGGGACGAUAAUGACGGUACCCGGAGAAGAAGCCCCGGCUAACUUCGUGCCAGCAGCCGCGGUAAUACGAAGGGGGCUAGCGUUGCUCGGAAUUACUGGGCGUAAAGGGAGCGUAGGCGGAUAGUUUAGUCAGAGGUGAAAGCCCAGGGCUCAACCUUGGAAUUGCCUUUGAUACUGGCUAUCUUGAGUACGGAAGAGGUAUGUGGAACUCCGAGUGUAGAGGUGAAAUUCGUAGAUAUUCGGAAGAACACCAGUGGCGAAGGCGACAUACUGGUCCGUUACUGACGCUGAGGCUCGAAAGCGUGGGGAGCAAACAGGAUUAGAUACCCUGGUAGUCCACGCUGUAAACGAUGAGUGCUAGUUGUCGGCAGGCAUGCCUGUCGGUGACGCAGCUAACGCAUUAAGCACUCCGCCUGGGGAGUACGGUCGCAAGAUUAAAACUCAAAGGAAUUGACGGGGGCCCGCACAAGCGGUGGAGCAUGUGGUUUAAUUCGAA
RNAcentral lists this ribosomal RNA (900 nucleotides) under Staphylococcus sp. JGI 0001002-I23. RNAcentral's name for it is "bacterial SSU rRNA". It matches the Rfam family "Bacterial small subunit ribosomal RNA", at positions 8 to 955 of the family's 1533-position model. Lineage: Bacteria; Bacillati; Bacillota; Bacilli; Caryophanales; Staphylococcaceae. The record is from RNAcentral.